GUGCCUUUUCCCUUAAGCUGAGCCACUUUGAGCUCCAAAGAAUUCUUCCUAGCAGGUGUUUUUAUACAAAACUCUAAGGUGAGGGCGGGGCCCCUGGCGUGGGAUCAUGUGGAUGUCUACCCUCCCACCUGCUCCUCUGAUUGGCCAUGAGCUCUGCCCUCCCCGCCUCUGCCUGGCCAGUGCUGACCUUGGGGUGGUCCACUACCCCCCACCACCCGCACCCCAGGAAGGAGCUGUUUGCCUGUGCAACCUUUCCAGGCCUGGGCGGUGUGUGUGUGGGGUUACCCCGACCCCCACCCCCCACCCCAAGUGUUUUUUUACUUACUUACUGACUGAGAGAAAAGAUGGAAGGAGGGAGGGCAGACAAAAUUUUAUUUUCUUUUUUGGAUCGAGUGGCGAAGCGGAGGGACAAGGCACCGUGGGGGAAAGUGGAAUCUCACUGUGUUUAAACUACUAUGCAAAAAAAAAAAAACAAAAAAACAAAAAAACAAAAAAAACAACCCACAAAACAAACAAACAAAAAAAGCAGCUUGCCUUAUAUCAUUGUGUAAGGUCGGCCCUCGGCCCAGACUCCUGGUGUUGCCCUGGAGCUGGGAGGGAGGCCGAGGCAGCCCCCCGAGGGUGAGCACCCGCUGGAAGGGGGCCGUUUGUCAAGGUCGAUGGUGAGGCUGGGGGUGGGGGAAGCCUGCAAGGCCAUGGCUCACCGGACUGCUUGCUUUCUGGGGACCUCUGUGCGGUGGGAGGGGUCUUUUAGUGCCCUGAUGACUUGAUGUUUCUUUCUCUCCCUUCCCAGCCAGUGAUAAGGGGCUAGAGAUCUGUAAUUUCUCUGUGAGAAAGUCUGAAGGGGGCUAGGCCUGGCGUCCACCCCCUCCACAGCAGAGCUGGGUUUCCACUGCCUGCCGCCGUCUUCAUGGGGUCGCCCACCGUUGGGCCACUGGCAGGCCCUGGAGAGGGAAGGGGAGCCGUGGGGGGCAGCGAGGGCCGGCGGAUCAGAGGUGUGGCAGGAGCCGAGCUGGAGUGAGAGCCAUCCUUUGUUCUCAUGGACACAUGCAAGCCUGUUUCCAUUACUUCACUUGAUUGACCGACCAGUGGGGAGUUCAUCUGAGCCAGUAUCUCCCCAAGACUUAGGUGGGCCUGUGUCACAAGGCACUGGGUUGAGGCCACCUGCCAAAUCUCAGCUUGGAGCUAGCCGAGCGGGUUUUGCUUUUUUUUUUUUUUUUUUUUUUAAUGAUUUUUUUCUGUACCCACUCCUGUGGGUGGGAUUGCCCAUUUUUGUUUCUUGACUGGCCCAGGAGCGCCCCCUGGAGGUCAAAGAAGGGACACGUGCCCGAGGACCAGAACUUCCCAGAACUUCCCACCUCCUGCUCUCCUGCGGAAGGCAGAGGAUGGGGGGCUCUGGCUUUCCAUCAGAUUGCAGCCCCCUGUCUUUCUUCCUCAGGGUACCAGCGACCUGUAAGGGCCUUCUCUCUCUUCCGUUUCCCCACCUGUUUUGCAGUCUUAAGACCAUUGUACAUAAUAUUCAUAUUAUAUAUAUAUAAUACGAUGUGUAUAUUAUAUAUAUAUAGUAUCCAUAUAUAUAUAUAUAUGGAGAGAGAGCGUGCGUGUGUUAGUGACUGUAUGUGAUUUUUAUUUAUCAGCACUUGGUGGCCUUUAUUGUGAGUUUGUUUCCUUUUUAUUUCUGGUGGUGGUGUUGAGGGAACCUGCUGGUUCCCUGUGGCAGUCUGGCAGCCAGACAGUCCCUGGGCAGGUACGUGGAGGGACGGUGGCUUCAGAGGAGAGCCAGCCCCUUCCCCUCCUCCUCACUGACCCUUCUUCUAAAGGUUACAGGGUUCAAACGUAGCUGACUAUUCUUGUCAUUAGCGUUAUUGUUGUUUUCGUUUUAGUUUCAUUUUAAACCAAACUUGGACCUCAGCUGCUGGAAAGAUUUUCCGUUUCUGGGAGGAACCCCUCGGGCUUCCUCUGUCCAGGGCUGGGGGGGAGGGUGUGAUUGAAGGUGUGGUGUGGGAGGCAGAGCAGAGGCCGGCCCCGGGGUGGUUCUCAAGGUGGUGGGGAGGGUGACAGACCUAUCUUUAGUGUUAAGACAUAAGGCGACAGUGUAAGUAUUGGGGGGGGGGGGGUAAUAACCCAGGUGACCGUGGCAGUCGGUGUCCGGUGGUAUUAUUUAUGCUUCCCCCUUCGUGUACAUAGGAUGUUUGUCUCGGGGACUAGGGUGCUCUAGUUUGUCCAGGGAGUCUGGAAGUGGCAGGAGCCAGAUGGACGCUGGCCAUGCAGCCCCUUCCUGCUGCUUUCCUAUAGCUGUGCUCCCCUGGGGAGCAGGGAUUUGGGGCAGGUGGAUGGGCGUGCAGCAGACCUGCCUCCUGGGCAGGGGCUAGUGGUGGGAGGCGGGGAGCCCAGGUCUGGGCCUGGCUGCCUUUCUCCCCACCAAGUUCUUUUUUUUGAGUUUGUUGCCAGUGGGCCCUGCUUGUGCCCUCGCCAUGAGCCCACAGCUUGCCAAGAAAGCCCCCAACGCUCGCUGGGGCAGCACCAGGUCCAGUUGGGAAGAACUGGUCCGUCCUUUGUAAAGCUGUAAAUACUCAAAUUUCUAUUUCUAAGCCCAGUGUCAUAUUGACAUUGGUAUUUUAAGGUCGUUCUCAGAUGGGCUCUCCUGCGCUGCCCUCUCUCACUCUCCUAUUUUGGGGGGUUUUAUAAAAAGAGAGGAUUGGGGAGAGGCAGGGAGAAGUAGCUUCCUUUCACCUCCCUGGUUGUGGAUCACACACACGCGCACGCACGCACGCGCGCACGCACCUCUGAGACUCCAAACAGGGGAAAAAAAAAAUCAUUGGCAAGUGAACACCUCUUGUUUUCUUGUAGCAAUAUACCUUGAGGUCUCCGAAGGGCCAGCCCAUCGCGGACUGAGCUCUGACCUACAGAGAAGCAAACCACUUUGGCUUGGAAUGGGGGAGAGGGUGUGGGGUGGCAGGUACUGUAUGGUGUAACUUAAGCUAAAUGUAAUCUAUUUAUAAAGCAAGAGAUUCUCAUCUAUUUUUAUGAAAGGAAAGGGUUUUUAAAUCUAGGGUAGGCAGUUACGGUAGCCCCGCGUUCUCCUGUGAACAAGAUGCAUGUUGCUGCUGGACUGAAUAUAACCAGUGCCCCUCCCGUCCCCCUGGCCUCACUGCCAGGUCACCUGCACCCAUGAGCGGCUUCGGCAGAGCCUAGGUCCCACCUCACCCCACUUUCUUGUUCCUCCACCACCACCCCCCCCAGCUCCUUGGUCCUUGAAAGUCUUUGAUGGGGGGGGUAACUCGGGGGAGUGGGUGGGUGGUGAGGGAUUCAGAAUCAAGGUCGGGGAGGGGGGUGGAGGAUGGGAGAUGGGGCACCGGGUGGGGGAUGAGCUCUGCUUCAGAGGGUGGGCUCUGGUCUGCCAAGAUCCAUUUCCGAGUUGGCUGUGUCUGGGGGAGGCUGAGAAGCAGCGGACUGUGGGUGGCCAUGAGACUGUUGGUUCAGGGAGUAUGCGGCUCCCUUGGGGCCUGGGCCCUACAGGGUCCCAGGCUGCGGGGUCCCAGGCUGUCAGGCAGCUGGAGCAGGAAUGGGAGUGCUCCAGGAGACGCCCAUCACCCAGCCCCAGCUGUGCUUGCUCCAGGCCGAGGUCCGGGCUGCAGCCCUUGGUGUGCUCCUCCAGGGCCUGGGGCAGGGACUGGGCACCUGGGGCUUCCUCAGACCCGGGUUGACCAUCUCGGCACACCGAGCUCUGGUUCUAGAAGGGCAUCCUCCUGGCACGGGGGAGUCUGGGGGCAGCUGGGUGGGUAUGGGUCAAGGCAAAUUCUCUCUGAAAGGGAGCUUCCCUUUGGGUGGAGGAUUUCCAGGUUCGGGGUGGCCUGUGUGUUAGUCUUGGGCGAAUCCCCCACCAUUCCCACUGCCCGGCCCUCAAAGAAACGAAGCCAGGCACCAUCCCCACCCCCAGCAAGACCCCUUCGUGGACAUUUUAGCAUCUACCUGAUUUUUAGCCCCAUCCAGGGAGACUUUGUAUCCCGCAGUCCCAUCCCACCCCACUGUUGCUGUUUGUCUGCCCAUUGGGUCUAGUGUCAAGGGGAAAGGGGGAGGGUUUAUACUCAUUGAAAGACUACUGAUCCUACCGGAAACCAACCUGUUUACUGUACUGUUGUAAAUAUCAUGCCCUUUAUAUCCUGUAUAUUGGCUUCUUUUAAAUAAAGUGAAAUGUC
Molecule: long non-coding RNA, 4199 nt
Filed under: Canis lupus familiaris (dog)
Lineage: Eukaryota; Metazoa; Chordata; Mammalia; Carnivora; Canidae
Description: lncRNA (ENSCAFG00845003666.1)
Source: RNAcentral